UUAAAGCCUUCUAUCUAUUCUUCAAGUUUCUUUUGUUAUUGGCAAGAUGAACUUGAACAAUGAAGGGGAUACAUGAUUCUAUUUUAGUUUUGCAUCAGCACAGGUUGCAGCACCAAAACCGCAUGCUAGUCACUCUGUGUAAUUCUUUAAUGUAUGCAGAGUAUUGAUAGUAAUGAAUAAGGGCACCCUUUUCUUCUGAUCCGAUCUUUCUCUGUGCACUACCUAAUUUGUCUGGCAGGUGAUUAACCAUCUUAAACCUGAAUACUUAGAAGAUGAAACGGACACCUUCCAGGGUGUGGAUGAUUG
Molecule: long non-coding RNA, 306 nt
Filed under: Eucalyptus grandis
Lineage: Eukaryota; Viridiplantae; Streptophyta; Magnoliopsida; Myrtales; Myrtaceae
Description: long non-coding RNA (EGRA_LNC006306)
Source: RNAcentral